Molecule: ribosomal RNA, 490 nt
Filed under: uncultured bacterium
Lineage: Bacteria
Description: partial 16S ribosomal RNA
Rfam family: Bacterial small subunit ribosomal RNA
Source: RNAcentral
AGUGAACGCUGGCGGUAGGCCUAACACAUGCAAGUCGAACGGCAGCACAGGAGAGCUUGCUCUCUGGGUGGCGAGUGGCGGACGGGUGAGGAAUACAUCGGAAUCUGCCCAGUCGUGGGGGAUAACGUAGGGAAACUUACGCUAAUACCGCAUACGACCUUCGGGUGAAAGAGGGGGAUCGCAAGACCUCUCGCGAUUGGAUGAGCCGAUGUCGGAUUAGCUAGUUGGCGGGGUAAUGGCCCACCAAGGCGACGAUCCGUAGCUGGUCUGAGAGGAUGAUCAGCCACACUGGAACUGAGACACGGUCCAGACUCCUACGGGAGGCAGCAGUGGGGAAUAUUGGACAAUGGGCGCAAGCCUGAUCCAGCCAUACCGCGUGGGUGAAGAAGGCCUUCGGGUUGUGAAGCCCUUUUGUUGGGAAAGAAAUCUUUCAGGCUAAUACCCUGGGAGGAUGACGGUACCCAAAGAAUAAGCACCGGCUAACUUCGUG